AUGGACAUAUCACAUUGAAACACUGGUUCUCGUCCGAUCACCGAAGUUAAGCAACGUCGAGCCUGGUCAGUACCUAGAUGGGAGACCAUUGCGAAUACCCGGUGCUGUAAG
Molecule: non-coding RNA, 111 nt
Organism: Acanthosepion pharaonis
Lineage: Eukaryota; Metazoa; Mollusca; Cephalopoda; Sepiida; Sepiidae
Source: the annotation of a GenBank genome assembly